AGACAGCAGUGCAGACACCACAAACACAGAUACGAGCCCAGACGAUCACUGAUAUGACUGCUGAAAAGAGCCACACACUGCAGGUCAUUGACUUCAUGGGCGCUGAGCCGCCUGUGGAUGUCUGUAAACCCUCAGACUUCACACAAAGUCUCUGUCAGAAAGUCAGUGAAAAGGAUGCUGAAUGCAAACAUUUGAAGAUCCAUGGUGAGACUGGAAGAGAUGGAGAACAUCAAAGUGUUAGCUCUGAACAACAGGAAGUUUCAAAUUUGUGUCAAAACGAGGUCCAAAGCUCAGACGGAGACACAGGAUCACUAAGUCAGCCUCCCACCAAAAAAGCAGGGGAGCUUUCUGCUGGACUUUCUGAACACCUGAAGCAGCCAAGUACCUCACAGACAGACGAUGCCGCAUCAGCUGGUCACUCAUAUGGUUUUCACAGCGCUGAAAACUUGGGAUCAUGUCAGACACAUACAGAAACACGUACUCCUUCUGAUGUUAUUUCAGAUAUGACGCAAACAGAUGAAAUCUUUGAUGUACCUGUGAGUGAAAAACUGGCAGAACCUGAGCAGCUGCUGGAAAGCUUAGAGCAGAAAGAUGGGCAGCGGAAGUCUGUGGUAACUGUUGAAGGAAAGGGUGAUCCAAGUGUAGAGAACAGAAGAAAAGAUGAAUCAAGUGUAGAUACGAAUGUCUAUCAAACACCUAUGGAAGAAUCCCACUUAAAAGAUGGCAAUGUUAAUAUUACGAUGGGUGCCAUAACCCUUGAUUCUGAGGUGAAAAGUGAGCAUAUAAAGGACACAGAAGAUACAAAGAAGACUAAAAGUGAAACAGAUCCGAAGCUGCCACUCGUUACAAGUCUGGGUCACAAGCAGCCUGAGUUAGGAGAGAAGCUGCUGAGUGAUUGUGGCAAGUCGUCUCUGCCCAGCAAAAAGACUUACAGGCCAUUAUUUGAGUGGGCCGCUGCCGAGAGAAGAAAGUCAAACUCCAGAACAAAGUCAGAUGUCACCAUAGCGCACCAGCCAAUCCAGGGAUCUUCUCUGUCUGAGCAGAAUACAACUGCUGGAUUCCCAGGACAUCCUGCCAGCACAAUAAUACCCAAGCCCCUCAAAAGCAAACACGACAAUGGUGGUGGUUUAUCAUUUCACUAAGGAGCACAGAAACUGCUCUGAUGCAUGACUAGGAACAUCUUACACAGUGAAUUCAUUGUCCGUCUGCGUUUCUUACCAUUACUAAUCAUCAUUCAUUCUUGCUUUCUUGCUGUUCUUGCCAUCUCACCUCAUUCCUCUUAGUCCCCUUGGUGAUUAUGAGGGCGUCAGACCUGUUGAAUGCCUCCAGUGUCUGUGGGACCGCACCUUCCCUGAGGAGAAAGCAGCAGGGACUCUGGGAAGCAGUGCAGGAGACCUGCAGAGAGAGAACAGCAGCAGAUACGGAUGGCAGAGCUCCUCCGCCAAGCUGUUCUUUUCCAGCCUCCAGCACAGGCAGCAAACUGUCAUGGCAAACCACUGCAGAGUGUAGCAGAGCUCCUACCUUAGCUGCAGGACCUAGUUCAGAGUCCAACUGGGAACUCUCCUGCUCCCAGGAGAGGGACGAUCAACAGGAAUCAUUCAGGGCGCAGAUCUCAAAAAUCGAACAGUUCCUCAAGACAGAGAGACUCCGUCUGCCCAAAAGACAACGAACUGAACCAAAUCUGUAGAAACUGCUGGUCGUCUUUAUUCGCUGUCCUAGAACCAGGCUCGGGGAGGGACGCCCAUCUGCUGUGACCCGUUGAAGGUUGAGG
This is a long non-coding RNA of Astatotilapia calliptera (eastern happy), 1771 nucleotides long. The record is from Ensembl. NCBI's taxonomy places the organism in Eukaryota, Metazoa, Chordata, Actinopteri, Cichliformes, Cichlidae.